RNAcentral lists this unclassified non-coding RNA (520 nucleotides) under uncultured Glomus. RNAcentral describes it as "SSU rRNA". It matches the Rfam family "Eukaryotic small subunit ribosomal RNA", at positions 569 to 1090 of the family's 1831-position model. Lineage: Eukaryota; Fungi; Glomeromycota; Glomeromycetes; Glomerales; Glomeraceae. The record is from RNAcentral.
AGCAGCCGCGGUAAUUCCAGCUCCAAUAGCGUAUAUUAAAGUUGCUGCAGUUAAAAAGCUCGUAGUUGAAUUUCGGGACCAUCAUGUCUGUCGUGCCUAGGUACGUACUGGCAUUGUUGGUUUCUACCUUCUGACGAACCAUGAUGUCAUUUAUUUGGUGUCGUGGGAAAUCAGGACUGUUACUUUGAAAAAAUUAGAGUGUUUAAAGCAGGCCCACGCUUGAAUACAUUAGCAUGGAAUAAUGAAAUAGGACGUUUGAUUCUAUUUUGUUGGUUUCUAGGAUCGACGUAAUGAUUAAUAGGGAUAGUUGGGGGCAUUAGUAUUCAAUUGUCAGAGGUGAAAUUCUUGGAUUUAUUGAAGACUAACUACUGCGAAAGCAUUUGCCAAGGAUGUUUUCAUUAAUCAAGAACGAAAGUUAGGGGAUCGAAGACGAUCAGAUACCGUCGUAGUCUUAACCAUAAACUAUGCCGACUAGGGAUCGGAUGAUGUUAAUUUUUUUAAUGACUCAUUCGGCGCCUUA